GUUUGAUCCUGGCUCAGGAUGAACGCUAGCGGCAGGCCUAACACAUGCAAGUCGAGGGGCAGCGCGGGUGGCAACACCUGGCGGCGACCGGCGCACGGGUGCGUAACGCGUAUGGAACCUGCCCCCCGCUGGGGGAUAGCCCGUCGAAAGGCGGAUUAAUACCCCAUGGCCUCCCGGGACCGCAUGGUCCUGGGGGUAAAGCUUCGGCGGCGGGGGAUGGCCAUGCGUGCCAUUAGCUGGUUGGCGGGGUAACGGCCCACCAAGGCGACGAUGGCUAGGGGGUCUGAGAGGAUGGUCCCCCACACUGGUACUGAGACACGGACCAGACUCCUACGGGAGGCAGCAGUGAGGAAUAUUGGUCAAUGGGCGGAAGCCUGAACCAGCCAUGCCGCGUGCAGGAUGACGGCCCUACGGGUUGUAAACUGCUUUUGCGCGGGAAGAAUAACCCCCUCGCGAGGGGGGAUGCCGGUACCGUGCGAAUAAGGAUCGGCUAACUCCGUGCCAGCAGCCGCGGUAAUACGGAGGAUCCGAGCGUUAUCCGGAUUUACUGGGUUUAAAGGGUGCGUAGGCGGGCGCCUAAGUCAGCGGUGAAAGGCAGCGGCUCAACCGUUGAACUGCCGUUGNNCUGGGCGCCUUGGAUUCGGUCGGGGCCGGCGGAAUGCGUGGUGUAGCGGUGAAAUGCUUAGAUAUCACGCGGAACGCCGAUCGCGAAGGCAGCUGGCCAGGCCGAGAUCGACGCUGANGCACGAAAGCGUGGGGAUCAAACAGGAUUAGAUACCCUNNAGUCCACGCCGUAAACGAUG
RNAcentral lists this ribosomal RNA (803 nucleotides) under uncultured Rikenellaceae bacterium. RNAcentral's name for it is "bacterial SSU rRNA". It matches the Rfam family "Bacterial small subunit ribosomal RNA", at positions 11 to 811 of the family's 1533-position model. Lineage: Bacteria; Pseudomonadati; Bacteroidota; Bacteroidia; Bacteroidales; Rikenellaceae. The record is from RNAcentral.